RNAcentral lists this ribosomal RNA (495 nucleotides) under uncultured bacterium. RNAcentral describes it as "partial 16S ribosomal RNA". It matches the Rfam family "Bacterial small subunit ribosomal RNA", at positions 28 to 507 of the family's 1533-position model. The record is from RNAcentral.
GACGAACGCUGGCGGCGUGCCUAAUACAUGCAAGUAGAACGCUGAAGGAGGAGCUUGCUUCUCUGGAUGAGUUGCGAACGGGUGAGUAACGCGUAGGUAACCUGCCUGGUAGCGGGGGAUAACUAUUGGAAACGAUAGCUAAUACCGCAUAAGAGUAGAUGUUGCAUGACAUUUGCUUAAAAGGUGCAAUUGCAUCACUACCAGAUGGACCUGCGUUGUAUUAGCUAGUUGGUGGGGUAACGGCUUACCAAGGCGACGAUACAUAGCCGACCUGAGAGGGUGAUCGGCCACACUGGGACUGAGACACGGCCCAGACUCCUACGGGAGGCAGCAGUAGGGAAUCUUCGGCAAUGGACGGAAGUCUGACCGAGCAACGCCGCGGGAGUGAAGAAGGUUGUCGGAUCGUAAAGCUCGGUUGUAAGAGAAGAACGAGUGUGAGAGUGGAAAGUUCACACUGUGACGGUAGCUUACCAGAAAGGGACGGCUAACUACGUG